AGAGUACAUCUCCUUCUUCUAUAUUCCAAUAUAUCAAUAAAACAAGAGAUCUAUAAUAUCAUUGUUUAUGGAGUUCACAGAUUAUUGAAGAUUUUUGCUGCCAUGGAAUUGUGAGUUUGUGACUAUACAUUCUUGUGUCUUGAAGAUGUAUUGUCUCUGUAUGUGAAUGUCAAUAUCCAGUUUCUUGGUAGAUAAUAAGCAGUGGCAGAUGAACCAAUAAGUUAUCUGUGCCCAUGCUUUAUUGUAAGCGUUAAAUUUGCUCUCUGGUAUUACUUUCAAUGUGUUAUCCAUACCCAUGCUUUUUGCGGUUAAUUAUCAUGUCUUAUCAACUUAUGCAGAGUCCAUGAUAUCAUACAGUUUGAAGUCAAAAAAUUCAUGAUAUGGGUGAUAUGGAAAAGUCAUUGCCUUCUUUGCUGGAACAUUCCCUGAUUGCCUGGACUUCUUGGGUCAAUCGCUGGACGCCACCCCCGUCUCCUGGACGUCAUGACGCCGCCGAUUUCCUUGACGCCGCGUGCCACCGAUCUUCUAUAACUCAAUUUCUCCAAUUUCUCUCGGCUGUGAGCUCAUAUAUAUUUUUGAGCUGUGAACUUAUUAUGUAAACUCAACACUUUGUUUUGUGACAAGUGAACUCAUUUCAUAUUCAUCUAUCAAUCAUGGUUGAAGUGUC
Molecule: long non-coding RNA, 667 nt
Organism: Triticum dicoccoides
Lineage: Eukaryota; Viridiplantae; Streptophyta; Magnoliopsida; Poales; Poaceae
Exons: 2
Source: RefSeq, a predicted model, not a curated record